AUUUUCCAGUUAUCUUUGAAGAACCUAUUGUUAUGACCUUGUUAGUUACUGUGCAUACACGAUUAUCUCCCUUGGCGAGACCACAUUUCCUUUUAAAAUGUGACUUACGACUUCACUUCGUAUUGAGAAAAGUAUAUAUUGUAGAAAAUUAACAGCCUACAUUUGUUGACACACAUGGUAUGUCAAGAUGAAUUGUGUACUAAGAGCUUCAUUGAACUUACAUAGAAACUUUUCAUCUAUAUUCAAUGGAAUCAUUCAAAAGACUAUUAUAUCAGGAAAUUCUAACCAAACAGUUCUUCGAGCCUUAAGUACCACGUCAACAUGCAGCCAGUCUUUUUCUACAAAGAACUUUAAUGUUCCUAGUGGACCUUUAAUUUCGAAAUCACCAUCCUGUCUUUUGUCUAAUAAUUCGAGUUUGUUUUCCAUUCUGCCAACUACUGGAUUCCCUUGGCAACAAAAACGUACUUACAAAAUGAAGCUGUAUCCAAAACUCAGGUGCAAAGGAUGUUAUUUUGUUUAUAGGCAUCGUCGUUUGUAUGUUGAGUGUAACUUAAAACCUCGUCACAAACAGAUGGAAUUUAAAACUAAAGGAGAGUUAUGGAGGGAAGAUUACUCAAAAGGAGGUGUAAAAACAGCAGCAUUUUGGAAAUGGUCUAAAGAAGCUUGGUAUAAGCGUGGCGAUAAUAAAUAUUCUCGUUUUGAUUGGCUACAAGGAAAAUAUGACUGAG
This is a long non-coding RNA of Octopus sinensis (East Asian common octopus), 728 nucleotides long. RefSeq lists it as uncharacterized. The transcript has 2 exons. Lineage: Eukaryota; Metazoa; Mollusca; Cephalopoda; Octopoda; Octopodidae. The record is from RefSeq and is a predicted model, not a curated record.